This is a long non-coding RNA of Lactuca sativa (garden lettuce), 1005 nucleotides long. RefSeq lists it as uncharacterized. Lineage: Eukaryota; Viridiplantae; Streptophyta; Magnoliopsida; Asterales; Asteraceae. The record is from RefSeq and is a predicted model, not a curated record.
GUCCUCCGCCUUUAUCUCUGAAAAUGAACCUAAUUUUUGAAAACUAAGAUUCUCCCUCAUCCCUUCGUCUUCAUUGAUAAACUCAAGAUAUACAUUUUCUUCAUAAUCUUCUCUAUUCACUAUUCAUAGGCUUUCCAACUGCUUCUGCUAUUCCUUUAUUCCUCAAACCAACGAUUGAUGUCAAAGAAAAAUAUUGUUUAGGGUUUACUUCUAUAGGUAUAGACUUUUUGACAUACAAAUGGAGUCACCACCAUCCGAUGCUAUCUCUACUGCCGGAGCAGCGCACAAUCAUCUAUAUUUCUCUCUCGAUUUAAGGAUAGUUCCAACUUCUGAGUUGUAAUCAUUCCAUCCUGAAGAUAACCCUUAUCCAAGCAUCCUCUUUUUUUCAAAAAAAUGAAAAUGAAUACUUGUGGCUAUGUCUUUCUCCUAGCUAAGUAUGUUUUCUUGAGGUUGAAAGUAAGCUGGAGACCCACAUUGUUGAAAGUAAAAGAUGGAUUGGGCUAAUCAACUAUUCAUGAUCAUAAAAGAUGUCUUGUGGCAUUGGUUGUUUGAUGUUUUUUUAUUACUACUGCUUUUGUAUUUCUAUCUGAAUCUUUGGUUUAUCGCCACCAGGUAUGCACAACCUUUAAUCACCCAUUGGACGGAAAGAAUGAUCAACAAAGUUGUUCCUUGCAACGUUGAUGAUGAGUUGAUAUGAAAGCAACUGAUGUUGUCAUUUGGUGAUCAUGUGUUGGAGGUAAAUUCAACAAAGCAUAUGUUGACUAUGUUUAGAAGUAGCAAGUAUGUUUCCGAUUUAUUUUUAAGGAUACUGUGGUGCCAUAGAACAAGAUCUACUUCUGAAUGGUUAAGGCGGGGUACUAAAGUUAUCUUAGAUGCUCAUCUCUGUAGUUGAUUUUAUGUUAAAUAUUUCCUACUACAACAAAUAGACUUGAGGGCAUUUUCCUUGCUCUAUGGAAUUUAUUUUUUAUAUGAAUAUUAUAAAUAAACAUGUCAGGCCCUUUACAA